AGGCCUCCAUGACAUCUUAUUCUCAAGGGAGACGUGGGACUUGUGACAGCAGGCAAGGAGUGAGGGAUGGAUGGAGGGAGGGGGGAGAGGAGUGGAACAGGAGAAGUUGGAGGAGGAGGAGAGAAAUGUGACUGGUUGCGGUGACUGAAUUUGCUAGGGAAAUAAGAGGAGCUAACUUCAGUCUGCCUGCCUCCAGGCUCCUCCCAUUUGACACCAGGAGGAGGAAGAAGGUAGAGGAGGUCCACCUGGCCAAGUGAUAGUUCAGUGUGGUGCUAUCACACACACACCCCCUCCCACAUAGAGUCGAGAGCUGGCCUAAGGCUGUGGGUUUCACUCAGUCAAAAAGAAACUGAGACACAGAAAUAAAACUGUAAAAGGAUAGUGGAGAAUGGUGACAGUGAUCUUUAGAGCAGCUGUCUGCUGCCUCAGUGCCUCGGGCAGUUAAACAAAGAAGAAGCAGAAUGACAAAGAGCUUCAAACUGCUAACGGCAUGAAGUUUGUUUCAGUUUGGUUAAGGUUUCAGUGACUAAAGGUACCACGCAAUAUGUUACUCUGCGAGGGCCGCAGUAAUAACAAGAGAUUGGCCUACAGUGACCUUUCAGAGGCACGGAAGAAAAAAACAGUGACUGUCAUAUUGAUUUUCAUCUCACAAGGAGACAAAAGUUUAACAUUUUUUAUUUUUAUUCCCGGACAACAAAGUAGAAAUCCUUAUUUAACCUCGUACAAAGACCUGUGUUUUGACUGUGUUCCUGCUCCUUAUCUUGUGGAAACACAGGCCUGUGUUUGUUUUCACUUUCACCUCAUCACAGCAGUUGUUGUAAUGCUAAUCCAUCCAUCUUUACAGAACACAGCACGUUCAUGAGACAGUCGACAGUCAAACACCCACUGUGCUCGCUCAUCGCACAGGGUCGUGGUUGGACAGGAUGUGAAUGUGCUGUACAGUGGUGCGGCCUGAAUGAACCAGCCCAUUUUCUAUUUAAGGUCCCCUCCGAUCAUCUGAGCUCCAGGAGUGACCUGGGGAACUGUGGAGACCCUGGUGAACCUCAGGAGCUUCACACUUUUAGAGCCUGGUUAGAAACUCUGUGCAAAAGCCAGGACGCAACAGCUGGGUGACACACCCACACACACUCACACACACACACACACACACAUGGAACCUCAAUUGGGGGCACUCUUACUCUGUUAAAACAUGUCACAUUUUCCAUUUCCAGCCCCCCAGUCUGAGACCACUUCUUUGAUUGUUGCUGCAGCGUCCUGGUCUUCAUCACUAUCACCACACGUCAUCCUCUUCAUUUUUGUGGAACCACAUCCCAACGUCAGUGUUAAUGCAUCACUGCUGUCAUAAAUCCUGCUGCAGAGACUCAAAGCAGACACAGCACACCAGCCCACAUCAAGGCUACAGUAUUGGCACUCGUAUGUGUGCAGUUGUGUGUGCGUGUCUGGAGUAGUCGUUACAGUGGGGCCACAUAGGGUGUGAGUGGCCCCACUGUGAUAGUGUGCCGGUUCCCAUGUACAUAUUCUUGAAGGUGGUAAAAUGGAAUCUGUAGCUGUGUGAAAUGACCUCUUGUGGACAGUGACGAUGUGACAGUGCAGUGAACUGUUGUCGUGAGUCUCAUUUUCAAUUAAUUUAAUUUCUUGUUUUUUGUGUGAGUGGGGUGAAGCUGGGCCGAGAGGGAGCUUAAAAAAGGGGAGGGAAUCUGGUUUGUACCCGCAGCGAUGUUAUUGGUUAAGAGGAUUCAUUCACACAAAAAGAUUUAUAACAGUGGGAAACAUAGAAUAUAAGACACACAUGUGUCUGUGUGUGUGGAGACGCAUGUUUUUCUCUUGUGCCUGCAUGUGAGCGACAGUUUUUUUUUUUUUUACUGCUGCACUGUUGAACCUAUCUCUCUAUCUAUGAAGCCAACUCCUCGUUGCCUAAGCGUGAAAAAUACCACUGUUGUGGGUACACUUUGUCCUUAUGGGGGCAGACACCCACAGAGUGAAAUGGUGUUUAAGGUAAAGAUUUAGUUCAGAGAUAGAAUUGGAUUCGGGGUCUAAUAAUCUGACAAAAUGGGGGCAAGGUAUAGGACCAGGAAUAUUUGUAAUAGCUAAUGUUAAGGUUAGUGGCUUGGGAGUAUAUCAUGUUCUGUAUGUAAUGUUCAGAAAAACUAGUGUGUGUGUGUGUAUGUUGCUCUGUGGCAAGAGCCUCACCCCAACGCACAUUCCACACCCACACACUUGCAGUCAAUGACAGGAAAUAAACUGAUG
Molecule: long non-coding RNA, 2247 nt
Organism: Cynoglossus semilaevis (tongue sole)
Lineage: Eukaryota; Metazoa; Chordata; Actinopteri; Pleuronectiformes; Cynoglossidae
Exons: 3
Source: RefSeq, a predicted model, not a curated record